UCGAGCGGACAGAAGGGAGCUUGCUCCCGGAUGUUAGCGGCGGACGGGUGAGUAACACGUGGGUAACCUGCCUGUAAGACUGGGAUAACUCCGGGAAACCGGAGCUAAUACCGGAUAGUUCCUUGAACCGCAUGGUUCAAGGAUGAAAGACGGUUUCGGCUGUCACUUACAGAUGGACCCGCGGCGCAUUAGCUAGUUGGUGAGGUAACGGCUCACCAAGGCGACGAUGCGUAGCCGACCUGAGAGGGUGAUCGGCCACACUGGGACUGAGACACGGCCCAGACUCCUACGGGAGGCAGCAGUAGGGAAUCUUCCGCAAUGGACGAAAGUCUGACGGAGCAACGCCGCGUGAGUGAUGAAGGUUUUCGGAUCGUAAAGCUCUGUUGUUAGGGAAGAACAAGUGCAAGAGUAACUGCUUGCACCUUGACGGUACCUAAUCAGAAAGCCACGGCUAACUACGUGCCAGCAGCCGCGGUAAUACGUAGGUGGCAAGCGUUGUCCGGAAUUAUUGGGCGUAAAGGGCUCGCAGGCGGUUUCUUAAGUCUGAUGUGAAAGCCCCCGGCUCAACCGGCG
Molecule: ribosomal RNA, 573 nt
Filed under: Bacillus sp. G1W28(A)
Lineage: Bacteria; Bacillati; Bacillota; Bacilli; Caryophanales; Bacillaceae
Description: bacterial SSU rRNA
Rfam family: Bacterial small subunit ribosomal RNA
Source: RNAcentral